Molecule: ribosomal RNA, 484 nt
Filed under: uncultured bacterium
Lineage: Bacteria
Description: partial 16S ribosomal RNA
Rfam family: Bacterial small subunit ribosomal RNA
Source: RNAcentral
AUUGAACGCUGGCGGCAGGCCUAACACAUGCAAGUCGAGCGGAUGAAGGGAGCUUGCUCCUGGAUUCAGCGGCGGACGGGUGAGUAAUGCCUAGGAAUCUGCCUUGUAGUGGGGGAUAACGUCCGAAAACGGGCGCUAAUACCGCAUACGUCCUGAUGUAGAAAGUGGGGGAUCUUCGGACCUCACGCUUCCUGAUGAGCCUAGGUCGGAUUAGCUAGUUGGUGGGGUAAAGGCCUACCAAGGCGACGAUCCGUAACUGGUCUGAGAGGAUGAUCAGUCACACUGGAACUGAGACACGGUCCAGACUCCUACGGGAGGCAGCAGUGGGGAAUAUUGGACAAUGGGCGAAAGCCUGAUCCAGCCAUGCCGCGUGUGUGAAGAAGGUCUUCGGAUUGUAAAGCACUUUAAGUUGGGAGGAAGGGAAGUAAGUUAAUACCUUGCUGUUUUGACGGUACCAACAGAAUAAGCACCGGCUAACUUCGUG